AAUGAACGCUGGCGGCGCGCCUAAUACAUGCAAGUCGAGCGAGAAGACGUAGCAAUACGUUUGUAAAGCGGCGAACGGGUGAGGAAUACAUGGGUAACCUACCCUAGAGUGGGGAAUAACUAGCCGAAAGGUUAGCUAAUACCGCGUACGCUCCUUGGACUUCGGUUCAGGGAGGAAAGCGAUGCCGAGGGUAUCGCGCUCUUGGAUGGGCUCAUGUCCUAUCAGCUGUUGGUGAGGUAACGGCUCACCAAGGCUUCGACGGGUAGCUGGUCUGAGAGGACGAUCAGCCACACUGGCACUGCGACACGGGCCAGACUCCUACGGGAGGCAGCAGUAAGGAAUAUUGCGCAAUGGGCGAAAGCCUGACGCAGCGACGCCGCGUGGGGGAUGAAGGUC
Molecule: ribosomal RNA, 396 nt
Filed under: uncultured bacterium
Lineage: Bacteria
Description: bacterial SSU rRNA
Rfam family: Bacterial small subunit ribosomal RNA
Source: RNAcentral